CUGACACAGGGAGGUAGUGACAAGAAAUAAAAAGCAAGUCUCUCAGAGGCGCUGCGUUGGAAUGAGUAGAAUUUAAAUCUCUUUACGACCAUCAAUUGGAGGGCAAGUCUGGUGCCAGCAGCCGCGGUAAUUCCAGCUCCAAUAGCGUAUAUUAAAGUUGUUGCGGUUAAAAAGCUCGUAGUUGGAUUUCUGUCUAGGGUGGCCGGUACCCACUAUGUGAAGUAUCUGGUUCAGUCUGGGCAUCCUCUUGGGGAUCGUUCCUGUGCUUGAUUGCAUGGGGCGGAAUUCAAGACUUUUACUUUGAGGAAAUUAGAGUGUUCACGGCAAGCUUUCGCUUUGAAUACAUUAGCAUGGAAUAAUGAUAUAGGGCAUAAGUUCUAUUUUGUUGGUUUCUAGAACAUAUGCAAUGAUUAAUAGGGAUAAUUGGGGGCACUCGUAUUAACGCGUCAGAGGUGGAAUUCUUAGAUUGCGUUACGACGAACUACUGCGAAAGCAUUUGCCAAGGAUGUUUUCAUUGAUCAAGAACGAAAGUAUGGGGAUCGAAGACGAUUAGAUACCGUCGUAGUCUAUACCAUAAACUAUGCCAACUAGAGAUUGGAGGUCGUUUUUUUUAUGACUCCUUCAGCACCUUAUGAGAAAUCAAAGUUUUUGGGUUCCGGGGGGAGUAUGGUCGCAAGGCUGGAACUUAAAGGAAUUGACGGAAGGGCACCACCAGGAGUGGAGCCUGCGGCUUAAUUUG
RNAcentral lists this ribosomal RNA (739 nucleotides) under uncultured marine Syndiniales. RNAcentral describes it as "SSU rRNA". It matches the Rfam family "Eukaryotic small subunit ribosomal RNA", at positions 451 to 1197 of the family's 1831-position model. Lineage: Eukaryota; Dinophyceae; Syndiniales. The record is from RNAcentral.